Molecule: ribosomal RNA, 372 nt
Filed under: uncultured organism
Description: partial 16S ribosomal RNA
Rfam family: Bacterial small subunit ribosomal RNA
Source: RNAcentral
GUAGGUGGCAAGCGUUGUCCGGAAUUAUUGGGCGUAAAGCGCGCGCAGGCGGUUCUUUAAGUCUGAUGUGAAAGCCCACGGGCUCAACCGUGGAGGGUCAUUGGAAACUGGAGAACUUGAGUACAGAAGAGGAAAGCGGAAUUCCACGUGUAGCGGUGAAAUGCGUAGAGAUGUGGAGGAACACCAGCGGCGAAGGCGGCUUUCUGGUCUGUAACUGACGCUGAGGCGCGAAAGCGUGGGGAGCAAACAGGAUUAGAUACCCUGGUAGUCCACGCCGUAAACGAUGAGUGCUAAGUGUUAGGGGGUUUCCGCCCCUUAGUGCUGCAGCUUACGCAUUAAGCACUCCGCCUGGGGAGUACGACCGCAAGGUUG